This 253-nucleotide ribosomal RNA is filed under the name uncultured bacterium. Its description in RNAcentral is "partial 16S ribosomal RNA". It matches the Rfam family "Bacterial small subunit ribosomal RNA", at positions 524 to 776 of the family's 1533-position model. The record is from RNAcentral.
UACGUAGGUGGCAAGCGUUGUUCGGAAUUAUUGGGCGUAAAGCGCAUGCAGGCGGAUCGUUAAGUUGGAGGUGAAAUCCCGAGGCUCAACCUCGGAACUGCCUUCAAUACUGGCAAUCUUGAGUCCGGGAGAGGUGAGUGGAACUCCGAGUGUAGAGGUGAAAUUCGUAGAUAUUCGGAAGAACACCAGUGGCGAAGGCGGCUCACUGGCCCGGUACUGACGCUGAGAUGCGAAAGCGUGGGGAGCAAACAGG